UUCCAAGUAGUAAAGGAGGAACCUCCGGACCUCUAAGGAGUGCAUGGAGCAUUCUAGAAGUGACAAGGGAUUGAUGUAGAAGGUAGGCAUUAUGAUGUCUUGGUUGUUAUGGAAAUCAGUGACUAUUUUAGGAUGGAAGGAAGCAUCAGGUUGUAGGACCACCUUAUCUGGAUAGCAUUUAGUGUAUGGUGAAUCAGCCCUGAGAGCGGAAAGCUCAGUGAUCUGCCUAGCUGAUGUGAUGGCUACGAGGAAGGAACAGCAAGGGAAGAGGAGCAAGAACUUUCAUGUGACAGUGAGAGCGGAAGAUGAGAAGGAACUAAAUGGGAAUGCACUCUCCCGCCUAUUUUAAGAGGUGCUCCCUCAUGCCUCAGAAUGCCAGAGAGCACCUAUCAGAGCUAAAGAUUUCUCCACGAGGCUACAAGGCAGGCACAGAAAACCCAGUUGUGAGGGAACAUGGAUAACCUCAGAGAUCUAAAUGUUCUGUGAAAGUCUGACUUUAGCAGGCUCUGAAAUAAAACCCUGCACAAAUCA
This is a long non-coding RNA of Hemicordylus capensis (graceful crag lizard), 531 nucleotides long. RefSeq lists it as uncharacterized. NCBI's taxonomy places the organism in Eukaryota, Metazoa, Chordata, Lepidosauria, Squamata, Cordylidae. The transcript has 2 exons. The record is from RefSeq and is a predicted model, not a curated record.